GAACCUAAGGGAAACUUAGCCCUAACUGCUCCCUCAAUGGGGUCCGAUGCAGAUUUGACUCUUCUGCUUGGCCGUGGUGGGGAUCCCCUUCAUUCUUCACAUCUUUAGGUCCUUCUUUCUUAAUAAGCGCUUAAGGAAAAAUAAUAACCUUCAAUAGGCAGAGAAGAACUGGUUUGUGGUCAAGGACAUUUACAUCUUAAGUCCCUACUUAACAUCAUUAAUCAAAUUCUCAAGGUUUAUUUAUAAGAAACCAGAGAAUGUCAAGGGUCCAAGACUGAGUC
Unclassified non-coding RNA from Cercocebus atys (sooty mangabey), 281 nucleotides. Its record names the gene 7SK. It matches the Rfam family "7SK RNA". From Rfam's summary of the family: 7SK was discovered as an abundant small nuclear RNA in the mid-70s but a possible function has only recently been suggested. The record is from Ensembl. NCBI's taxonomy places the organism in Eukaryota, Metazoa, Chordata, Mammalia, Primates, Cercopithecidae.